AGUGGCGCACGGGUGCGUAACGCGUGGGAACCUGCCCUUAGGUUCGGAAUAACAGUGAGAAAUCGCUGCUAAUACCGGAUAAUGUCUUCGGACCAAAGAUUUAUCGCCUUUGGAUGGGCCCGCGUUGGAUUAGCUAGUUGGUGGGGUAAAGGCUCACCAAGGCGACGAUCCAUAGCUGGUCUUAGAGGAUGAUCAGCCACACUGGGACUGAGACACGGCCCAGACUCCUACGGGAGGCAGCAGUGGGGAAUAUUGGACAAUGGGCGAAAGCCUGAUCCAGCAAUGCCGCGUGAGUGAUGAAGGCCUUAAGGUUUGUAAGUUCUUUUACGGGAGAAUAAAAGUACCUGGAAAGUAUCCCAUAUCCUCUCCGGCUAACUCCGUGCCAGCAGCCGCGGUAAUACGGAGGGAGCUAGCGUUGUUCGGAAAUACUGGGCGUAAAGCGCACGUAGGCGGCGCCGCAGUCAGGGGUGAAAUCCCGGGGCUCACCCCGGACUGCCCUUGAAACUGCAGUGCUAGAUCUGAGAGCGAGUGAUUCCGAGUGUAGAGUGAAAUCCGUAGAUUUUCGGAAGACCACAGUGCGAUGGCACUCCCUGGACAGUAUGACCUUGACGGCCUAGCUUGGGACACUGAUCAUGCUGA
This 639-nucleotide ribosomal RNA is filed under the name uncultured bacterium. RNAcentral's name for it is "bacterial SSU rRNA". It matches the Rfam family "Bacterial small subunit ribosomal RNA", at positions 94 to 780 of the family's 1533-position model. The record is from RNAcentral.